GGUGGGUGCGAGAACGACUUCUCCAUUACGGAUGGUGAGUGAGUAAUUAGUCUUGAUCUUGCUGUAAAACCUAACAGUGGGUUUAUUGUCGGUGUACUUGGGGGUUUGGUGGGUGGUCUGGUGAGAGACAUGGUGAACUAUGGCUGCAGGUUGCGGUGGUGGUGGUGAUGGUUGGUGAUGGGAGGUAACAUGGUGGGAAGGUUGUGGUGGUGGUGGUGAUGGUUGGUGGUGGGCGGGAGCAUGGUGUUGCGGUGGUGGUGGUGAUGGCUGGUGGUGGGUGGGAAGAUGGUGGGCAGGUUGCGGUGGUGGUGGAGUUGGUUGGUAGGCAUUGUGGUGGUGUCGAGGAUCCAUUUUUUUCUAGAUUUAAUUGGGGUGUGUGUUGGAAGUUAAAUAAGAAAAGAGAUGAGGAGGGUAGUUAGAA
RNAcentral lists this long non-coding RNA (421 nucleotides) under Lactuca sativa (garden lettuce). RNAcentral's name for it is "long non-coding RNA (LSAT_LNC006386)". Lineage: Eukaryota; Viridiplantae; Streptophyta; Magnoliopsida; Asterales; Asteraceae. The record is from RNAcentral.